RNAcentral lists this ribosomal RNA (493 nucleotides) under uncultured bacterium. Its description in RNAcentral is "bacterial SSU rRNA". It matches the Rfam family "Bacterial small subunit ribosomal RNA", at positions 21 to 507 of the family's 1533-position model. The record is from RNAcentral.
GGCUCAGAUUGAACGCUAGCGGGAUGCCUUACACAUGCAAGUCGAACGGCAGCGCGGACUUCGGUCUGGCGGCGAGUGGCGAACGGGUGAGUAAUGUAUCGGAACGUGCCCAGUAGCGGGGGAUAACUACUCGAAAGAGUAGCUAAUACCGCAUACGAUCUAAGGAUGAAAGCGGGGGACUCGCAAGAGCCUCGCGCGAUUGGAGCGGCCGAUAUCAGAUUAGGUAGUUGGUGGGGUAAAGGCUCACCAAGCCAACGAUCUGUAGCUGGUCUGAGAGGACGACCAGCCACACUGGAACUGAGACACGGUCCAGACUCCUACGGGAGGCAGCAGUGGGGAAUUUUGGACAAUGGACGCAAGUCUGAUCCAGCCAUUCCGCGUGCAGGAUGAAGGCCCUCGGGUUGUAAACUGCUUUUGUACGGAACGAAAAGGUUUCUAUUAAUACUAGGAGCUCAUGACGGUACCGUAAGAAUAAGCACCGGCUAACUACGUG